CUGCUUGAGCAGCAGAGGUAGCUUCCUUAAAUUUCACGUUCCAUUACUGCCUACCAAUAGAAAAAUUACCAUUACCAUCUCAAGGAAAUGAUUGCCCAUGUUCCAACCUUUCAUCCUUGAAACCUAAGUGGCAUGAACCGCUAUCAUCAACACAAUAUUGCCUUGAAAGUUCUACAACAACUCUGACAGCUAGGCUUGCAUGUUCUACAAACUUAGUCGCUCCUUGAGCAGCUGAGGUAGCAUCCUUAAAUUUCAUUUUACAAUUAUGCCUGCCAACAGAAAAAUUACCAUUACCAUCUCAAGGAAAUGAUUGCCCAUGUUCCAACCUUUCAUCCUUAAAACCUAAGUGGCAUGAACCACCAUCAUCAACACAAUAUUGCCUUGAAAGUUCUCCAACAGCUCUGGCAGCUAGGCUUGCAUGUUCUCCAAACUCAGCCGCUGCUUGAGCAGCAGAGGUAGCAUCCUUAAAUUUCCUGUUCCAAUUCUGCCUGCCAACAGAAAAAUUACCAUCACCAUCUAAAGGAAAUGAUUGCCCAUGUUCUAACCUUUCAUCCUUGAAACCUAAGUGGCAUGAACCACCAUCAUCAACACAAUAUUGCCUUGAAAGUUCUACAACAGCUCUGACAACUAGGCUUGCAUGUUCUGCAAACUCAGCCGCUGCUUGAGCAGCAAAGGUAGUAUCCUUAAAUUUCAUGUUCCAAUUCUGCUUGCCAACAGAAAAAUUACCAUUACCAUCUCUAGGAAAUGCUUGCCCAUGUUUCAACCCUUCUUCCUUGAAACCUAAGUUGCAUGAACCACCAUCAUCAACACAAUAUUGCCUUGAAAGUUAUCCAACAGCUCUGGUAGCUAGGCUUCCAUGUUCUCCAAACUCAGCCGCUGCUUGACCAGCAGUGGUAGCAUCAUUAAAUUUCCUGUUCCAAUACUGCCUACCAACAGAAAAAUUACCAUUACUAUCUCAAGGAAAUGAUUGUCCAUGUUCCAACAUUUCAUCCUUGAAAACUAAGUUGCAUGAACCACCAUCAUCAAUACAAUAUUGCCUUGAAAGUUCUACAACAGCUCUGGCAGCUAGGCUUGCAUGUUCUCCAAACUCAGCCGCUGCUUGAGCAGCAGAGGUAGCAUCCUUAAAUUUCCUGUUCCAAUACUGCCUACCAACAGAAAAAUUACCAUUACUAUCUCAAGGAAAUGAUUGCCCAUGUUCCAACCUUUCAUCCUUGAAACCUAAGUGACAUGAACCACCAUCAUCAUCACAAUAUUUCCUUGAAAGUUCUACAACAGCUCUGGCCGGCAGGCUUGCAUGUUCUACAAACUCAGUCGCUACUUGAGCAGCUGAGGUAGAAUCCUCAAAUUUCAUGUUCCAAUUCUGCUUGCCAAUAGAAAACUUACCAUUACCAUCUCCAGGAAAUGAUUGCCCAUGUUCCAACCCUUCAUCCUUGAAACCUAAGUGGCAUGAACUACCAUCAUCAACAUAAUAUUGCCUUGAAAGUUCUACAAUAGCUCUGGCAGCUAGCCUUGCAUGUUCUGCAAACUCAGCCGCUGCUUGAGCAGCAGAGGUAGUAUCCUUAAAUUUGAUGUUUCAAUUCUGCUUGCCAACGGAAAAAUUACCAUUACCAUCUCCAGGAAAAGCUU
This 1626-nucleotide long non-coding RNA is filed under the name Nicotiana tabacum (common tobacco). RNAcentral's name for it is "long non-coding RNA (NTAB_LNC005724)". The record is from RNAcentral. Lineage: Eukaryota; Viridiplantae; Streptophyta; Magnoliopsida; Solanales; Solanaceae.